CCCUUAGAUGUUCUGGGCAGCACGCGCGCUACAAUGGUCUUCGCAAACGGAUGCAUUCUCGAAGGAGAAUGCCAAUCUUGGAAUCUAUGCCUUAGUCGGGACAGUUGCUUGCAAUUUUUCGACUCGAACCAGGAAUUCCUUGUAAUCGUGAUUCAUCACAUCACGAUGAAUACGUCCCUGCCCUUUGUACACACCGCCCGUCGCUCCUACCGAUCGAAGAGUUAGGUGAAUUGUUUUGAUCGAUAAGAUUUGACUAUGGUCAACUCUCGUUGUGAAAUUCUGUGAAUCUGACUGUUUAGAGGAAGGAAAAGUCGUAACA
This 319-nucleotide ribosomal RNA is filed under the name uncultured eukaryote. RNAcentral's name for it is "partial 18S ribosomal RNA". It matches the Rfam family "Eukaryotic small subunit ribosomal RNA", at positions 1470 to 1796 of the family's 1831-position model. The record is from RNAcentral.